This is a small nucleolar RNA of Phyllostomus discolor (pale spear-nosed bat), 136 nucleotides long. RefSeq annotates it as small nucleolar RNA SNORA48. The record is from RefSeq and is a predicted model, not a curated record. Lineage: Eukaryota; Metazoa; Chordata; Mammalia; Chiroptera; Phyllostomidae. The transcript has a single exon.
UGUCCCUAACCUGGGCAGAGUUGUACCAGGUUUGGUGGUGCUUGUCCCUUAUAAGCCAGAGAUAAAGUAACUCCUUGUUUAUCCCAUUUGGCUUUUGGUCUGUGCCCAGUAGCUGGUUCAUGCCCUGGAAACAUAC